Molecule: ribosomal RNA, 1488 nt
Filed under: Staphylococcus aureus
Lineage: Bacteria; Bacillati; Bacillota; Bacilli; Caryophanales; Staphylococcaceae
Description: 16S ribosomal RNA
Rfam family: Bacterial small subunit ribosomal RNA
Source: RNAcentral
GCUGGCGGCGUGCCUAUCUGCAGUCGAGCGACGGACGAGAGUGCUGGCUCUCUCUGGUGUUAGCGGCGGACGGGUGAGUAACACGUGGGUAACCUACCUAUAACAGUGGGAUAACUUCGGGAAACCGGAUCUAAUACCGGAUAAUAUUUAACUUCGCGUGACGCAAUAGUGAAAGACGGUUCUGCUGUCUCUUAUAUAUGGACCCGCGGUGUAUUAUCUAUUUGGUGAGGUAACGGCUCACCAGGGCAACGAUACAUACCCGACCUGAGAGGGUGAUCGGCCACUCUGGGACUGACACACGGCCCACACUCCUACGGGAGGCAGCAAUAGGGACUCUUCCGCAGUGGACGAAAGUCUGACAGAACAACCCCGCGUGAGUGAAAAAUGUUCUCAGAUCGUAAAUCUCUGUUGUAGGGGAAGAACAUGUGUGUUAAUAUCUGAACGUAUCUUGACGGUACCUUACCAGAGAGCCACGGCUAUCUACGUGCCCGCACCCGCGGUAAUACAUAUGUGGCACGCGUUAUCCAGAAUUAUUGGGCGUAAAGCGCGCGUACGCGGUCUCUUAUCUCAGAUGUGAACGCCCGCGUCUCACGCGGGAGAGUGUCUGUGGACAGUGAGACACGUGAGUGCAAAAGAGGAGAGUGAUCUUCUGUGUGUAGCUGAGAUGUGCGCAGAUAUGUGGGAGAACCACCUGUGGCAAGCGACUCUCUGUGCUCUGUAACUGACGCUGAUGUGCGAAAGCGUGGGAUCAAACAGGAUUAGAUAGCCUGGUAGUCACGCCGUAAACGAUGAGUGCUAAGUGUUGUGUGGUUUCCGCCCCUCAGUGCUGCAGAUAUCGCAUUAAGCACUCCCGCGUGGGGAGUACGCUCGCAAGACUGAAACUCAAAGGAAUUGACGGGGACCCGCACAAGCGGUGGAGCAUGUGGUUUAAUUCGAAGCAACGCGAAGAACCUUACCAAAUCUUGACAUCCUUUGACAACUCUAGAGAUAGAGCUUUCCCCUUCGGGGGACAAAGUGACAGGUGGUGCAUGGUUGUCGUCAGCUCGUGUCGUGAGAUGUUGGGUUAAGUCCCGCAACGAGCGCAACCCUUAUCUUUAGUUGCCAUCAUUAGGUUGGGCACUCUAGAGAGACUGCCGGUGACAAACCGGAGGAAGGUGGGGAUGACGUCAAAUCAUCAUGCCCCUUAUGAUUUGGGCUACACACGUGCUACAAUGGAUGGUACAAAGGGCAGCAAAACCGCGAGGUCAAGCAAAUCCCAUAAAACCAUUCUCAGUUCGGAUUGUAGUCUGCAACUCGACUACAUGAAGCUGGAAUCGCUAGUAAUCGUAGAUCAGCAUGCUACGGUGAAUACGUUCCCGGGUCUUGUACACACCGCCCGUCACACCACGAGAGUUUGUAACACCCGAAGCCGGUGGAGUAACCUUUUAGGGAGCUAGCCGUCGAAGGUGGGACAGAUGAUUGAGGUGUGAAGUCGUAACAAGGUAGCCG